UACGAAGGGGGGCUAGCGUUGCUCGGAAUCACUGGGCGUAAAGGGCGCGUAGGCGGCGUUUUAAGUCGGGGGGUGAAAGCCUGUGGCUCAACCACAGAAAUGGCCUUCGAUACUGGGACGCUUGAGUAUGGUAGAGGUUGGUGGAACUGCGAGUGUAGAGGUGAAAUUCGUAGAUAUUCGCAAGAACACCGGUGGCGAAGGCGGCCAACUGGACCAUUACUGACGCUGAGGCGCGAAAAGCGUGGGGAGCAAACAGG
RNAcentral lists this ribosomal RNA (257 nucleotides) under uncultured bacterium. Its description in RNAcentral is "partial 16S ribosomal RNA". It matches the Rfam family "Bacterial small subunit ribosomal RNA", at positions 524 to 776 of the family's 1533-position model. The record is from RNAcentral.